Molecule: RNase P RNA, 396 nt
Filed under: Mycobacterium sp. ITM-2016-00318
Lineage: Bacteria; Bacillati; Actinomycetota; Actinomycetes; Mycobacteriales; Mycobacteriaceae
Description: Bacterial RNase P class A
Rfam family: Bacterial RNase P class A
About the family: Ribonuclease P (RNase P) is a ubiquitous endoribonuclease, found in archaea, bacteria and eukarya as well as chloroplasts and mitochondria. Its best characterised activity is the generation of mature 5'-ends of tRNAs by cleaving the 5'-leader elements of precursor-tRNAs.
Source: Rfam by way of RNAcentral
CGAGUUGGCCGGGCGGCCGCGGACGGCCUAGGGGCUGUUCGAGGAAAGUCCGGACUUCACAGAGCAGGGUGAUUGCUAACGGCAAUCCGAGGUGACUCGCGGGAAAGUGCCACAGAAAACAGACCGCCACCUUCGGUGGUAAGGGUGAAACGGUGCGGUAAGAGCGCACCAGCAUCCCGGGUGACCGGGAUGGCUAGGCAAACCCCACCCGAAGCAAGGCCGAGAAGGCCGCACCUGGUGUGGCUGCGCAGGCGCUCGAGGGUUGCUCGCCCGAGCCUGCGGGUAGGCCGCUCGAGGCACCCGGUGACGGUGUGCCCAGAUGGAUGGUCGCCGUCUCGGCGCCGUGGUCUCCGCGGCGGCGAGAGACAGAAUCCGGCUUAUAGGCCAACUCGUUCG